AUUCAAUAGCGGAGGAAAAGAAACCAACAGGGAUUGCCUCAGUAACGGCGAGUGAAGCGGCAACAGCUCAAAUUUGAAAUCUGAAGUUUUUAACUUCCGAGUUGUAAUUUGAAGAGGAUGCUUCGGUUGUGGCUUGGGCCUAAGUUCCUUGGAACAGGACGUCGUAGAGGGUGAGAAUCCCGUACACGGCUACCGGCUUUCAAUCAUGUGUAGCUCCUUCGAAGAGUCGAGUUGUUUGGGAAUGCAGCUCAAAAUGGGUGGUAAAUUUCAUCUAAAGCUAAAUACUGGCGAGAGACCGAUAGCGCACAAGUAGAGUGAUCGAAAGAUGAAAAGCACUUUGAAAAGAGAGUUAAACAGUACGUGAAAUUGUUGAAAGGGAAGCGUUUGCAAUCAGACUUGCUUGCGGUUGAUCAACGUUCCUUCUGGUUCGUGCACUCUGCCGUUUGCAGGCCAGCAUCGGUUAGGGCGGUGGGACAAAGGCUCCAGGAAUGUGGCUCUCUUCGGGGAGUGUUAUAGCCUGGUGCGUAAUGCCACCUGUUCUGACCGAGGUCCGCGCUUUUGCUAGGAUGCUGGCGUAAUGAUUGUAAACGACCCGUCUUGAAACACGGACCAAGGAGUCUAACAUCUAUGCGAGUGUUUGGGUGUCAAACCCAUGCGCGAAAUGAAAGUGAACGGAGGUGGGAGUCUUCGGAUGCACCAUCGACCGAUCCUGAUGUCUUCGGAUGGAUUUGAGUAUGAGCAUAGCUGUUGGGACCCGAAAGAUGGUGAACUAUGCCUGAAUAGGGUGAAGCCAGAGGAAACUCUGGUGGAGGCUCGCAGCGGUUCUGACGUGCAAAUCGAUCGUCAAAUUUGGGUAUAGGGGCGAAAGACAAUCGACAUUGC
Molecule: ribosomal RNA, 882 nt
Filed under: Orbilia caudata
Lineage: Eukaryota; Fungi; Ascomycota; Orbiliomycetes; Orbiliales; Orbiliaceae
Description: eukaryotic LSU rRNA
Rfam family: Eukaryotic large subunit ribosomal RNA
Source: RNAcentral